This 508-nucleotide ribosomal RNA is filed under the name uncultured Sphingobacteriales bacterium. RNAcentral describes it as "bacterial SSU rRNA". It matches the Rfam family "Bacterial small subunit ribosomal RNA", at positions 903 to 1382 of the family's 1533-position model. The record is from RNAcentral. Lineage: Bacteria; Pseudomonadati; Bacteroidota; Sphingobacteriia; Sphingobacteriales.
CUAUGCGCCUUGCCAGCCCGCCUCAGAAACUCAAAUGAAUUGACGGGGCCCGCACAAGCGGAGGAACAUGUGGUUUAAUUCGAUGAUACGCGAGGAACCUUACCUGGGCUUAAAUGGGGAGUGACAGCUGUCGAAAGAUGGUUUUCUUCGGACACUCUUCAAGGUGCUGCAUGGUUGUCGUCAGCUCGUGCCGUGAGGUGUCGGGUUAAGUCCCAUAACGAGCGCAACCCUUACCGUUAGUUACCAUCAGGUUAAGCUGGGGACUCUAGCGGGACUGCCACCGUAAGGUGAGAGGAAGGUGGGGAUGACGUCAAAUCAGCACGGCCCUUAUGUCCAGGGCUACACACGUGUUACAAUGGCCAGUACAAAGGGCAGCUACCGGGUGACCGGAUGCUAAUCUCUAAAGCUGGUCUCAGUUCGGAUCGAAGUCUGCAACCCGACUUCGUGAAGCUGGAUUCGCUAGUAAUCGCGCAUCAGCCAUGGCGCGGUGAAUACGUUCCCGGGCCUU